CUCCAUGUCCCCACCCCUCUCACUGCUAUAGCUUCAGGUCAGAGGAGCUACAGAGCCAAAUGCUGCAGAGAUGAAGGGAGACGGAAGGAUGUCGCCUCCAGAGCUGGGGCCACGGGCAGCGCCAGGGCAGGUUCAUCACUGAUGGCAAGUCUGUGGCUGACCACGUUCACAGGGGUGGCCCCGAGCAAAGGUCGGACAUGAGGACCCAGGAGAAUUCAGGCCCCGGCUCUGGGACGGCUGUGCACCCCCACCCUGGCCGUGGCUGGCACCUCAGAAGGCACAGCUGUCCUUCACUCGCACGGAGCAACCUCAGGACAGAUGGUGGGAGAGGAAGGGCAACUCCAGGAGGCACAUUUUAGGAAACUGCCCAUUGAGCCAGCUUCGAUCCUCCAAACCUCGUCAGCAUGCACAGGCUCCCUGACUCGGCAGCAAGGACGGCCUCACCAGCUGACCCCCAUGCCCGGCACCCCCUUCACCAGUGGGUCAACUAUGCUCGCCACCACUCAGCACUCACCUCUUGGGCUCAGAGGGCAGGGAGUCUGGCCCUUCUCUCUUAAGAGCAGGGUCCUGAAAACUCCAGAGAGCAGUGCCCUGUGCAUUAAACACAGACUGCACCCUUGUACUCAGGAGGAUGCAAUUCUCUCUCUAAAGUCGAGAGCUCACCACCCCGGGUGUUAGUCACUGCCGACAUCACUGCAGACACAGAGACGGCCAUUAGAGCUCACCACCUCGAGUGUUAGUCACUGCAGACAUCACUGCAGACACAGAGACGGCCAUUAGAGCUCACCACCCCGGGCGUUAGUCACUGCAGACAUCACUGCAGACACAGAGACGGCUAUUAUGCAGCCUGACGUGGUCACUCCUGGGGGCUGUAGGAUAUUUGAUCCUAAAGAGAAAACACCUUAAAUUCUCACAUCAGCCACCCCCAUGGCGACUCUUAACACCUUAAUGUAACACCUUCCAACUUUUCCUGGGCAUUUAUGUACAAAUUGUAAUAAAAUUGGGUUCUUACUGCAUACACUGCUUGCUGGUUUUUAAAUAAAAUUGGGUUCUUACU
Molecule: small RNA, 1057 nt
Filed under: Pan troglodytes (chimpanzee)
Lineage: Eukaryota; Metazoa; Chordata; Mammalia; Primates; Hominidae
Description: processed transcript
Source: RNAcentral